CAUUACGCGCCGAAUCGGUGGGCCCUACCUAUUCCAGCGUUUGGUUCGCUGGUUUGUCCAUUACGUGCCUAAUCCAUUACGUGCGUAUUCCUCAGUCCUCCCCGAUUUGUAUUCCCUGCCCAAAGUUCAGAUUAGCUUCCGUUUAGCAUUCUUGAAAUUUUUAUGCCCUGUUUUGCCCUCAUCUUCCAAGCCGAAAUCCACAUCCAGAUCUCUCCCUCCCAACAUCAAAGAAGCUGCCAGGUGAGUGACCUCCACCGCUCCCCUUUCACUUUCAUUUGUGAUUGUUUUGUCGAACCAAACUCUCACAUUCUGUUCUUGAAAUGCAGUGAGUAGGGAAGUUCAAAAACAGACUUCUGUUCUUCAAAUUUCAACAAGUAUCUCCAAAGAAACCCAGAAGAAAACCUUUCCAAU
RNAcentral lists this long non-coding RNA (411 nucleotides) under Gossypium barbadense (sea-island cotton). RNAcentral describes it as "long non-coding RNA (GBAR_LNC010397)". Lineage: Eukaryota; Viridiplantae; Streptophyta; Magnoliopsida; Malvales; Malvaceae. The record is from RNAcentral.